Molecule: ribosomal RNA, 236 nt
Filed under: uncultured bacterium
Lineage: Bacteria
Description: partial 16S ribosomal RNA
Rfam family: Bacterial small subunit ribosomal RNA
Source: RNAcentral
UCGGACGGGGGAGUAACGCGUGGGUAACCUGCCUCAUACAGGGGAAUAGCAGCUGGAAACGGCUGAUAAAACCGCAUAAGCGCACAGUGCCGCAUGGCACAGUGUGAAAAACUCCGGUGGUAUGAGAUGGACCCGCGUCUGAUUAGCUUGUUGGCGGGGUAACGGCCCACCAAGACUACGAUGGAUAGGGGUUCUGAGAGGAAGGUCCCCCACAUUGGAACUGGGACACGGUCCAA